Molecule: ribosomal RNA, 254 nt
Filed under: uncultured bacterium
Lineage: Bacteria
Description: partial 16S ribosomal RNA
Rfam family: Bacterial small subunit ribosomal RNA
Source: RNAcentral
CACGUAGGCACCAAGCGUUGUCCGGAUUUAUUGGGCGUAAAGAGCUCGUAGGCGGUUGAGUAAGUCGGGUGUGAAAACUCUGGGCUUAACCCAGAGCCGCCACCCGAUACUGCUCUGACUUGAGUUCGGUAGGGGAGCAGGGAAUUCCUAGUGUAGCGGUGAAAUGCGCAGAUAUUAGGAGGAACACCGGUGGCGAAGGCGCUGCUCUGGGCCGAUACUGACGCUGAGGAGCGAAAGCGUGGGGAGCAAACAGG